This 374-nucleotide ribosomal RNA is filed under the name uncultured bacterium. RNAcentral describes it as "bacterial SSU rRNA". It matches the Rfam family "Bacterial small subunit ribosomal RNA", at positions 525 to 896 of the family's 1533-position model. The record is from RNAcentral.
ACGUAGGGUGCAAGCGUUGUCCGGAUUUACUGGGCGUAAAGAGCGCGUAGGCGGUCUGUUAAGUGUAGAGUGAAAUCUCCAGGGCUCAACCCGGAAACUGCUCUGCAUACUGGCAGACUGGAGGGUCGAAGAGGUAUGUGGAAUUCCCGGUGUAGCGGUGAAAUGCGUUGAUAUCGGGAGGAACACCCAUGGCGAAGGCAGCAUACUGGUCGACAUCUGACGCUGAGGCGCGAAAGCGUGGGUAGCAAACAGGAUUAGAUACCCUGGUAGUCCACGCCCUAAACGAUGGAUACUAGGCGUAAGGGGUAUCGACCCCCCUUGUGCCGCAGCUAACGCACUAAGUAUCCCGCCUGGGGACUACGGCCGCAAGGUUG